Molecule: ribosomal RNA, 450 nt
Filed under: uncultured Glomeromycotina
Lineage: Eukaryota; Fungi; Glomeromycota
Description: SSU rRNA
Rfam family: Eukaryotic small subunit ribosomal RNA
Source: RNAcentral
AGCAGCCGCGGUAAUUCCAGCUCCAAUAGCGUAUAUUAAAGUUGUUGCAGUUAAAAAGCUCGUAGUUGAAUUUCGGGAUCAGUACGCCGGUCGUGCCUUCGGUAUGCACUGGUGUCACUGAUUCCUCCCUUCUGAAGAACCGUUAUGCCAUUUAUUUGGUGUGGCGGGGAAUCAGGACUGUUACUUUGAAAAAAUUAGAGUGUUUAAAGCAGGCUCGCGCUUGAAUACAUUAGCAUGGAAUAAUGAAAUAGGACGUUUGAUCUUAUUUUGUUGGUUUCUAGGAUCGACGUAAUGAUUAAUAGGGAUAGUUGGGGGCAUUAGUAUUCAAUUGUCAGAGGUGAAAUUCUUGGAUUUAUUGAAGACUAACUACUGCGAAAGCAUUUGCCAAGGAUGUUUUCAUUAAUCAAGAACGAAAGUUAGGGGAUCGAAGACGAUCAGAUACCGUCGUAG